UACGGGGGGGGCAAGCGUUGUUCGGAAUUACUGGGCGUAAAGGGCUCGUAGGCGGCCAACUAAGUCGGACGUGAAAUCCCCAGGCUCAACCUGGGAACUGCGUCCGAUACUGGAUGGCUUGAAUUCGGGAGAGGGAUGCAGAAUUCCAGGUGUAGCGGUGAAAUGCGUAGAGAUUAGGAAGAACACCAGUGGCGAAGGCGACUUACUGGACUGUAACUGACGCUGAGGCAUGAAAGCGUGGGGAGCAAACAGG
RNAcentral lists this ribosomal RNA (253 nucleotides) under uncultured bacterium. Its description in RNAcentral is "partial 16S ribosomal RNA". It matches the Rfam family "Bacterial small subunit ribosomal RNA", at positions 524 to 776 of the family's 1533-position model. The record is from RNAcentral.